This 1147-nucleotide long non-coding RNA is filed under the name Homo sapiens (human). RNAcentral describes it as "HSALNT0235133". Lineage: Eukaryota; Metazoa; Chordata; Mammalia; Primates; Hominidae. The record is from RNAcentral.
GCCCCCGCCCCCGGAGCGCGGCGGUCCCAAGAGGGGCGCGGCCCAGCAGGCUAGGGCGCGGCGCGCGGGCGGGGACCCCGGGCGCCCCGCCCUCCGCGCCCCCAGCCCCGCGCUCCCCGCCCUGGGCUUCCCCGGGGCCCCCGCCGGACUGGAAACCGGGGUCCAGCCGGGGCGCCCCCGCCCCCUCCGGGAGUGGGAUUUAAAGGCACAGGAACUGCGUCAUGGGAAGGCGCGCAGCACUCAGGGCGCCCUCGGCCCCCUCCCGGGAGCUGGGCGGUGAGGCCUGCAGAGCAGGACCUGCCAGCUGAGCGCCCCUACCCUCGCCCCUGCCCGCCCCCGCGCCUCGCCCCUCCCGCCGGGCUCGGAUCUGCCCCGCCUGCCCCUGACUCGACUGAGGCCCUUUGCAAACCACAGAAGUUCUCUAAAUGUCUGCGGUGGCAUCAUUGGACCAGCUACGUCUUGGACUUUAUUGGAAGCUGCCAAAUUGCUUUCCAAACACCUGGAGCAACUGACCUCUCACCCUUCAGUGUGCCUGGGUUUGUGGUUCUCUAUUUCCUGGCCAGCACUGGUGUCCUCAAACUUCUGAUUUUCUUUCCAUUUAUUUUACUUUGUUCAUCUAAAUGGGUAUGAAAUAAUAUCUCUGGGCUGUUUCAUGUCCAUGGAAAUUUCUCUGUUGUAAAUGUGUGGGCCAAAGGAACUGCACCUUGUCCUCAAGAGAUUCGGGUCGAAACCUUGGCUCCGGGGCCCACCAGCAGUAUGGCUUUGGGCAGUCACCUAAUGUCCCUGAGCUCAGUUUUCUCAUCUGUAAAAUGGAGAUGGCAGAGUUCCCAUAGGGUUACCGUGGGAAUUCAAAAGCUAGGCGCCCAGCACUCAGUAAGCGCUCGGGAAGUGGGAAGUAAUGUUAUUGGAAGCCAGCCCCCCAGGGAGGGUCAUGGAUUCCUGCAUGGAGACACCCAGCCCUCUGCCUGUUGAAAUAAACAUUGCCACCACUCGUAUGUUCUACUUUUCAUUUCUUCCAUUUUAUUUCCAACCAUUUUGCUGCUGAAUCAGCAGCCCUCCUUCACACAAGCAGUGGAUUGCAACUGAGAUCCUAUUGAAACACGGUGGUUGCUUCCAAGCAGUUACUGGUCAGCACCUUCCACCUUUG